Non-coding RNA from Schistosoma mansoni, 45 nucleotides. NCBI's taxonomy places the organism in Eukaryota, Metazoa, Platyhelminthes, Trematoda, Strigeidida, Schistosomatidae. The record is from Rfam.
AUCCAGUUGACGAAUCCCAAAUAGGACGAAACGCGCCUGUUGGAU